GAAGAUGAGGAGGCUCACUCAGCCUUGAUUACCACCAAGGUGCCCAAGCUAUCCAGACUGAUAAAUGAUCAGGCAUAGUACGAUACCGAUAUCAACCUAUACUCUCCUUGGGAUAAGGCCGAUGUAUUUUGCUUCCAGCUCUUUCUUUUCUUUUACAUUUUUAUUUUUUUGAAAUAUAUAAUUAUCUUACGUAGAAAUGAGAUUCAAUCCAAACAGAUUGGAGGAUAAGAAGAGGAAGGAACAACCAAAGCCAUUUGUAGCUGCUCUUGCACCGAAGAAGGCAAAAGGUGUAGAUCCUCCUGCUCGGGUACCAUCCUGAUCUACAUCAGUCGCUCCUUCUCCCGCCACUUUGGAGAGAAGCGAUGCUUCUCGGGGUCCAUAGAGUACUCUCCGGGCUCUAUCAAUUGAGCCUCCACCUCACCAACCAAUGAAGGUGAGGAAAAAGGAUGAUUCUCAAUCUCCACCUCCUCCCAAGGAGUUAGGUCGAAAGGCAACUGCUGCUGCUAUAGCCCCAUCGACCUUAGUUGAGGGAGAUACUAUGGGGUGGAUGUCACUUCUAGGACGGCCUCGGUUAGAUCACGAUCUUCUCGAUUUAGUGCUGCCGGCAGUCAAUUUGGAAGCACACUGAAAGAAUAAAUUGGAGGAGAUCACAAAUCAUGGCUGCGAGCAUCUUAUGCAUGUAUCUUUUUUUGUUCUUCUUCUUAUUCUUCUCUCUCCUUUUUCUCUCUUUUCUCUUUUUUUUUUCAUCGGUAUGUGAUUGACCUGAAUUUUUAUCCUAUAGGUUGCCGUCAACUUUCGGAUCAUGUAUGAAAACAUGGUCUAUCUAUUGAAAAAUAAGAAAGCCAUGAAUGCCAACUUGACAAUCCUCUAAGAGGAGAAGAAGGCUACUAAAAAGAAAGCUGAGAAGGAAUCUGAAUAUGUUGAAGGACUCAAAAUUUAGCUCAAAGAGAAGCUGACAUCGCUGAAGGAAAAAAAUCAGAAUCUCUUAGACCUUCAGCGAAAGAUUAAUGAACAAAAAAUGAAAAUCUUCAACCUGCACAUACGGACUGAGAAGAAUAAAGAACUGGAGCUGAGGCUACAGGAGGCACUUAAGGCUAAUGAGGCUCACAAAAAAGCCAUAGAAGCUCUGAAGAGAUAGGUUAAGAAGGAAUAGAAUAAGACAGCGAAGGUGGAGCUGUAUAAGACCUCCGAAGAGUUCAAGGAGGAGGUAAUCGA
Molecule: long non-coding RNA, 1215 nt
Filed under: Elaeis guineensis (African oil palm)
Lineage: Eukaryota; Viridiplantae; Streptophyta; Magnoliopsida; Arecales; Arecaceae
Description: long non-coding RNA (EGUI_LNC023615)
Source: RNAcentral